RNAcentral lists this long non-coding RNA (3107 nucleotides) under Nicotiana benthamiana. Its description in RNAcentral is "long non-coding RNA (NBEN_LNC009623)". The record is from RNAcentral. Lineage: Eukaryota; Viridiplantae; Streptophyta; Magnoliopsida; Solanales; Solanaceae.
CUGCAUUGCAUAGUCUUGUUCACUGCCACUUCCUGUUUCCUCCACAUGUUAUAGGCCCCUUCUCUGAAGAUGCCUCUGGAUCUUGGUAAAGAGGAGGCUGGUCUGUACAAGUUUGCUUGGGUGCCACCUUCCUCUUCUUCUUCUAAUUGUUGUUCUUCUGCUUCUGUAUGUUCUCUUUCUUCUGAUUCUUUUAAUCAUGACUGUUCUAGCCAUAAAGUUGUUGCUUUACCUUCAACUGUAAAUAGUUCCAUCUGUAAUAAUGUUGUUACCACUGACAUGAGAAUUCUUGUAAACCUGACUGUUCUAGUCAUGAAGUUGUUACUUUACCUUCAAUUGUAAAUAGUUCAAUCUGUAAUAAUGCUGUUGCCAGUGACAUGAAUUACAUUUGGCAUUUGAGAUUGAAUCAUAUUUCAUUUGCAAACAUGAAACACAUUUCUGCCUUGUCUUUUCCAUUUGCUUCUAAACAACCUUUCCAUUGUUCUAUUUGUUCUAUGGCUAGGCAAACUAGACUUCCCUUUCCUGAAAGCACAAUAAGUACAUCUAGACCUUUCCAAUUGAUCCAUGUAGAUACUUGGGGCCCUUAUCACACUCCCACUUCUUUUGGCUCUAGAUACUUUCUAACAAUAGUUGAUGACUUUUCUAGAGCAACCUGGACACAUUUAUUGGGGUCUAAAAGCAAUGCUUUCUGCAUGCUUAUAGUUGAUGACUUUUCUAGAGCAACCUGGACACAUUUAUUGGGGUCUAAAAGCAAUACUUUCUGCAUGCUUAAGUCUUUUAUGUGUAUGGUUAAAACCCAGUUUAAUGCUGUUGUUCAAACUAUUAGGAGUGACAAUGCUUUGGAAUAGGGGUAUAGUAUUGCUGGUGCAUCAUUUUUUAGUCAACAAGGCAUUAUUCAUCAAACCACUUGUCCACAUACUCCUCAACAGAAUGGUAUUGCUGAAAGGAAACAUAAGUCUCUUCUUGAAACUGGUAGAGCUUUACUCUUCCAAUCUGGUUUACCUAUCUCUUUCUGGAGAGAUUGCCUAUUGACUGCUACUUACCUUAUUAACAGAAUACCCUCCAGGCUCCUUCAAGGCAAAUCCCUUUAUGAAAUUUUGCAUGGAAAGGAACCUACAUACUCCUAGUUAAGGGCAUUUGGUUGCCUUGCCUAUGCUGCUGUCCCAAUUCCUCAAAGGGACAAGUUGAAACCUAGGGCCAUUUCAUUUGUCUUCCUGGGGUAUCCUUUUGCUAAAAAGGUUAUAGACUGUAUGAUCUCAGUUCCAAGAAGUGCUUUAGGUCCAGGGAUGUUAUUUUCCAUGAAACUUCUUUUCCUUUUAAAUCUGUUUCUUCUGUUACCUCUACUCCUUCUGUUUCUUCCUCUUCUUUUCCUUUUGUUCCUCCUCUUGAGCAUUCCCUUUCUGAGCCAGACUUCUCUGUUCCCAUCUGUUCCUCUCCACCUUCUCCUUCUGCCUCAGCUUCUCCUUCUUCCAAUCCAGUUUCCAGUCCUCCUUUAAACCCUGAUAUUUCUCAUCCUGCUUUGCCUUCUUCCACAUCACCUAAUGUUCCCAGAAAAUCUGGAAGAUAGCACAAUCCUCCUUCUUAUCUUAAGGAUUAUGUCUGUCAUCUUCCUGCUUUCUCUGGAUCUUCUUCUUCUCCUCUGGGGUCUGAACCUCUUUAUUACUCUCAAGCUGCCUCAGUUCCAGUAUGGUAGGAUGCCAUGAGAAAGGAGUUUGAUGCUUUGGAUGCCAACUAUACCUGGGAUGUUGUUCCCCUUCCUCCUGGUAAGAACCCAUAGGCUGCAAAUGGGUUUUUAAGAUCAAAUAUAUGGCUGGUGGUAGUGUUCAAAGACACAAAGGUAGACUUGUUAUUAGAGGGGAUACUCAAAUUGAAGGGGUUGAUUUCACUGACACUUUUUUUCCUGUGGUUAAAAUGUCCACUGUGAAGUGUCUUAUUGCAGUGGCUGUUAAGAACCAUUGGAAUGACACUUUUUCUCCUGUGGUUAAAAUGUCCACUGUGAAGUGUAUUAUUGCAGUGGCUGUUAAGAACAAUUGGAAUCUUUUUCAACUUGAUGUUAACAAUGCUUUCUUGCGUGGUGAUUUGGAUGAGGAGGUCUAUAUGAAGCUCCCUCCAGGUUUAUCAAUUUCUGUCUCUUCUACUGAUUCUGUUUCCCCUGCAUCUCCUCCUCUUGUCUGUAAGUUGAAAAAAUCUCUCUAUGGGUUGAGACAGGCAUCCAGACAAUGGUAUGCUAAGCUGUCUUCUACUCUCUACUCCAGAGGAUAUACUCAUUCUUUGAAUGACUAUUCUCUGUUUAUCUAAGGCCAACCUGGUUGUCUGGUUGUUGUGGCAGUCUAAGUGGAUGACAUUAUUAUUAUUGGGGAUGACAAUGAUGAGUUUUCUGCCCUGAAGCUGUUUCUGGAUGAUCAGUUCAGGGUUAAAGACCUGGGGUCUUGGCAUUAUUUUUUGGGCAUAGAGAUGUAUGUUGUUCCUGGUGGGAUGCUCCUAAAUCAGCAUAAAUAUGUUUCUGACCUACUGCAUCAGUUUGACUGUAUGAAUGCUUCUCCUGUUGUUUGUCCUUUGGAUCUUAAUGUAAAACUCCAUGCUGAUUCUGGAGACAUCUCCUCAUCCCCUGAUCAAUAUAGGAGCAUUAUUGGUAAGCUCUUAUUUUUGACUCACACCAGGCCUGACAUCUACUUUGCUGUUCACCAUCUGAGUCAGUAUUUGAAGUGUCCCAGAGUCCCUCAUAUGACUACUGCACUACAUGUCCUCAGAUAUCUUAAGGGAACUAAAAAUUUGGGGCUCUUCUAUUAUGAAAGUUCUGAUUUCUCUGUACAUGCUUAUUCUGACAGUGAUUGGGCUGCUUGUCUAGAUACUCGCAGGUCUGUGACUGGUUUUUGUGUUCUUUUGGGUGGCUGCUUGAUUAGUUGGAUGUCCAAGAAACAACCUGUAGUUUCUUUAUCCUCUGCUGAACCUGAGUAUCGGGCUCUCAGUAAGGUAGUAGCUGAAUUGUCUUGGCUUUCCCGUUUGCUCACUGACAUUGGUGUUUCUGUUUCUCUUCCCUUUUAUGUUUUCUGUGACAACCAGGCUGCUAUACAUAUUGCCAAAAAUUCUGUUUUUCAUGAGCGGACCAA